This is a long non-coding RNA of Gossypium arboreum, 503 nucleotides long. RefSeq lists it as uncharacterized. The record is from RefSeq and is a predicted model, not a curated record. NCBI's taxonomy places the organism in Eukaryota, Viridiplantae, Streptophyta, Magnoliopsida, Malvales, Malvaceae. The transcript is spliced from 2 exons.
UCUGCCAUUUUCUAAAGCAAAAUUAAAACACCCCAUUUACCAACCUAUUUGCCGAAACUGAAAAAAAACAAAGGGGCUUUCACCCUUCUUCCCUCUGCUAGGACCAGUGAACGCGCCCAUCAUCGCCGGACCACCACCAGAUCUAGUGGCCGACAUCGCGCAAUAGGGGUUUCAACCCCGUUUUAAAACACGCGCGGAGAUCGCGAGGAGGUGGUGUGGCGCACGACUCGGAGUUGCGCGACGUGCGGAGCCCGGAUUCAGGCUUGCGGCGCUGGCUUCCCUGAUGCUGGGUUUCUCAUUUCCUUUUUUGUUUUAUUGGUAUUUGGGCUAGGUAUUAUGUGGGCUUGUGUUUUGUUUUGUAUAUUGGGCUGAGAGAUGUGGGUUAGGUUUUGGGUAAUCUGUUGGGCUUUGGGUUUGUUUUAAAUUUGGUCCUACAAAACAAUAACGUAAAAUGUAACAUUCCAAACAUAAGUGACUAAAAAGUAAUCUGAGUCAAAUAAAAA